RNAcentral lists this ribosomal RNA (497 nucleotides) under uncultured bacterium. Its description in RNAcentral is "partial 16S ribosomal RNA". It matches the Rfam family "Bacterial small subunit ribosomal RNA", at positions 28 to 507 of the family's 1533-position model. The record is from RNAcentral.
GAUGAACGCUGGCGGCGUGCCUAAUACAUGCAAGUCGAGCGAACAGAUGAGGAGCUUGCUCCUCUGACGUUAGCGGCGGACGGGUGAGUAACACGUGGAUAACCUACCUAUAAGACUGGGAUAACUUCGGGAAACCGGAGCUAAUACCGGAUAAUAUAUUGAACCGCAUGGUUCAAUAGUGAAAGACGGUUUUGCUGUCACUUAUAUAUGGAUCCGCGCCGCAUUAGCUAGUUGGUAAGGUAACGGCUUACCAAGGCAACGAUGCGUAGCCGACCUGAGAGGGUGAUCGGCCACACUGGAACUGAGACACGGUCCAGACUCCUACGGGAGGCAGCAGUAGGGAAUCUUCCGCAAUGGGCGAAAGCUUGACGGAGCAACGCCGCGUGAGUGAUGAAGGUCUUCGGAUCGUAAAACUCUGUUAUUAGGGAAGAACAAAUGUGUAAGUAACUAUGCACGUCUUGACGGUACCUAAUCAGAAAGCCACGGCUAACUACGUG